This 1331-nucleotide ribosomal RNA is filed under the name Salmonella enterica subsp. enterica. RNAcentral describes it as "partial 23S ribosomal RNA". It matches the Rfam family "Bacterial large subunit ribosomal RNA", at positions 1271 to 2585 of the family's 2925-position model. Lineage: Bacteria; Pseudomonadati; Pseudomonadota; Gammaproteobacteria; Enterobacterales; Enterobacteriaceae. The record is from RNAcentral.
UGCUGGAGGUAUCAGAAGUGCGAAUGCUGACAUAAGUAACGAUAAAGCGGGUGAAAAGCCCGCUCGCCGGAAGACCAAGGGUUCCUGUCCAACGUUAAUCGGGGCAGGGUGAGUCGACCCCUAAGGCGAGGCCGAAAGGCGUAGUCGAUGGGAAACGGGUUAAUAUUCCCGUACUUGGUGUUACUGCGAAGGGGGGACGGAGAAGGCUAUGUUGGCCGGGCGACGGUUGUCCCGGUUUAAGCGUGUAGGUGUGUGUUCCAGGUAAAUCCGGUUCACUUUAACACUGAGGCGUGACGACGAGGCACUACGGUGCUGAAGCAACAAAUGCCCUGCUUCCAGGAAAAGCCUCUAAGCAUCAGGUAACAUCAAAUCGUACCCCAAACCGACACAGGUGGUCAGGUAGAGAAUACCAAGGCGCUUGAGAGAACUCGGGUGAAGGAACUAGGCAAAAUGGUGCCGUAACUUCGGGAGAAGGCACGCUGACACGUAGGUGAAGUGAUUUACUCAUGGAGCUGAAGUCAGUCGAAGAUACCAGCUGGCUGCAACUGUUUAUUAAAAACACAGCACUGUGCAAACACGAAAGUGGACGUAUACGGUGUGACGCCUGCCCGGUGCCGGAAGGUUAAUUGAUGGGGUCAGCGCAAGCGAAGCUCCUGAUCGAAGCCCCGGUAAACGGCGGCCGUAACUAUAACGGUCCUAAGGUAGCGAAAUUCCUUGUCGGGUAAGUUCCGACCUGCACGAAUGGCGUAAUGAUGGCCAGGCUGUCUCCACCCGAGACUCAGUGAAAUUGAACUCGCUGUGAAGAUGCAGUGUACCCGCGGCAAGACGGAAAGACCCCGUGAACCUUUACUAUAGCUUGACACUGAACAUUGAGCCUUGAUGUGUAGGAUAGGUGGGAGGCUUUGAAGCGUGGACGCCAGUCUGCGUGGAGCCAACCUUGAAAUACCACCCUUUAAUGUUUGAUGUUCUAACGUGGACCCGUAAUCCGGGUUGCGGACAGUGUCUGGUGGGUAGUUUGACUGGGGCGGUCUCCUCCUAAAGAGUAACGGAGGAGCACGAAGGUUGGCUAAUCCUGGUCGGACAUCAGGAGGUUAGUGCAAUGGCAUAAGCCAGCUUGACUGCGAGCGUGACGGCGCGAGCAGGUGCGAAAGCAGGUCAUAGUGAUCCGGUGGUUCUGAAUGGAAGGGCCAUCGCUCAACGGAUAAAAGGUACUCCGGGGAUAACAGGCUGAUACCGCCCAAGAGUUCAUAUCGACGGCGGUGUUUGGCACCUCGAUGUCGGCUCAUCACAUCCUGGGGCUGAAGUAGGUCCCAAGGGUAUGGCUGUUCGCC